AGAAAUGCCUCCACGAGAUCCAGCUGUAAGGCAUUUUCUCAAUUAGUGAUCAAGGAGGAGAGGCCCUUUUGGGUGGUGCCAUCUCAGGGCUGGUAGUCUUG
RNAcentral lists this microRNA precursor (101 nucleotides) under Mus spretus (western wild mouse). RNAcentral's name for it is "predicted gene, 55275 (ENSMSPG00010029057.1)". Lineage: Eukaryota; Metazoa; Chordata; Mammalia; Rodentia; Muridae. The record is from RNAcentral.